UAAAAGAUCAAAAAGAAAGAGCAAAGUGUCAGAUGGACUAUGCAAUAAAUUGAAACCUAAGAUAAAUGUGGUAUUCCUAUUUUUAUUUCCAUCAAGUUAUACAACAUGAAAACCAUCAAUAAUCUGAAUCCCCAAGAGACCAAAUAAAAUGCCAUGUCAUAUAAUAAUUCAGGUGAACAAGGCUAAAGUCGGACUCAUUUAAGCCAAAUGCAGUUGCUUACUCAAUAAGAAAAACAGCCUUUUUGUUAGGACAAUGUUGUAAAAGGAAAAAGUAACCGAAUGCAAAAAGAGAAGAAUAAUAAAAUUUCCAAAUGCUUGUGGCAGGGGCAAUAUCGGGAACAGAACAAGAAAGCACAUGCAACACACAUGUUGCCAGAUGCUGAAAUGAGUAAAGUUCUAAUGAUAAGAUAUUCAUAUAAAGUAAAUAUGGCGCAUUAACAUGUGUCAAUAAAUUGUCAUUAAAAGAUCAAAAAGAAAGAGCAAAGUGUCAGAUGGACUAUGCAAUAAAUUGAAACCUAAGAUAAAUGUGGUAUUCCUAUUUUUAUUUCCAUCAAGUUAUACAACAUGAAAACCAUCAAUAAUCUGAAUCCCCAAGAGACCAAAUAAAAUGCCAUGUCAUAUAAUAAUUCAGGUGAACAAGGCUAAAGUCGGACUCAUUUAAGCCAAAUGCAGUUGCUUACUCAAUAAGAAAAACAGCCUUU
Molecule: long non-coding RNA, 701 nt
Filed under: Gossypium barbadense (sea-island cotton)
Lineage: Eukaryota; Viridiplantae; Streptophyta; Magnoliopsida; Malvales; Malvaceae
Description: long non-coding RNA (GBAR_LNC001525)
Source: RNAcentral